UACAAGCUUUGGGUUUUGCCAGUAAAUUAAAUGCCAACCUGUACUUGAGCAUGAAGCCCACGCUCAAACCUGCCAGCCCAGCUUUAAGCAUCAUGAAGUCCAGGUGCAGUUCAUAUGAUUAACACUUCCAGACCUGAUUCAGCAUGAAGAAUCCGCAACCAAGCAUGACCAUUUUCCCAAUUUUGAUUCCUAAUGCUGUGUAAGGGUCUGCAAAUCCACCCAGCUUGACACCAUCUGAAAAUUUACUAAGUGUACACUCAGUUCCAUCCUCCAGGCCAUAAUGAAGAAGUUGAACAGCAGUGGACUCAGAACAGAUGCCUGAGGAACCCAGUUUGACACCUGUUUGAUUGAUGACUACACUUUGAGCAAUAUUAUCCACCAGUUAUGUACCUAUCUAAUAAAAGACUUUUCCGGACCAAAUUUAUCUUGCUUGCUAGAAUAUUUUGAGCUCCAGUGAGGCACAUGUGCAGCGGGAUGAAGAUAUGGUUUAGACAGAAUGCCCAAGAAACUCCAGUAUGGGAAAAUGAGGUGUAGGAAGAUUAAGCAUGCUUGCCCAAAAAAUUGAAUCGGGGAUAUUCUACUGGGAUACUUGAUCAAAAAAGCCCUACAAGUUAACUCUUUGGACAUGUCUACAUGAGCUAGCACAUGUGUGUUGUGGCAUCCCAAAGCAGUUCGAGAUGCUACAGAAAGCAUGCCAUGAACUAAAAAUGGUUCUCCAUGCUGCAUAUUUGUAACCCAGACUCUUAAGUUUGAUACCAGGGAAUCCCAGUAUCAGAAGAAAACAUGCUGGAAAAAAGCAGCAUUGUGCAUGCUCCUGGAGCGUACCCAGAAGCAACUGGAGGCUGAGUCCUCCAAGGUGAUGCUCUAGUACCUGGCGAGAGGGUGUCUAUGCACACCACAUACCCCUGCUGCUCCAGCAUGCUGCCUCAGUGUGCUGAAGGAAAUAGAAGUGGAGCAUGGCUAGCAGUAAUGGCUUAGUGGUUGGGACCCAGGCUCUGUCCUAGAUUGCUCCAGAGCCUGCCUAGCACCCUGGGCCCAGGCACAGCAGCAGGACCAUGAAGGCUCUGGAGCAACCCAGGACAGACUCUGGAGCUACCCAGCUGCAGCAGGAUCUGCCUGUCCUGAAGGCAGAGGCACCCUGUUUUCAGCUCCAGGUGAACAGCAGAGUCAGGAGGACCCAGAGGCUGUGGAAGGGACCAUGGGUGAUCCCGGUAAGCAGGGACAUGGGUUUUCUUUUUCCCAUGGAAAGACAUGGAUUUUCUCA
Molecule: long non-coding RNA, 1264 nt
Organism: Gavialis gangeticus (Gharial)
Lineage: Eukaryota; Metazoa; Chordata; Crocodylia; Gavialidae
Exons: 3
Source: RefSeq, a predicted model, not a curated record